Molecule: ribosomal RNA, 465 nt
Filed under: uncultured bacterium
Lineage: Bacteria
Description: partial 16S ribosomal RNA
Rfam family: Bacterial small subunit ribosomal RNA
Source: RNAcentral
GACGAACGCUGGCGGCGUGCUUAACACAUGCAAGUCGAACGGUAAUGCCCUGCUUGCAGUGUCCUCGAGUUGCGUACGGGUGAGUAACACGUGGGUGAUCUUCCCUGCACUUCUCGAUAAGCCUGGCAAACUGGGUCUAAUACCUGAUAUCCUCCAUUUUUAGUGUGAUGUUUGGAGAGUUUUUUCGGUGUAGGAUGAGAUCGCGGCCUAUCAGCUUGUUGGUGGGGUAAUGGCCUACCAAGGCGGCGACGGGUAGCCGGCCUGGGGGGGUGGACGGCCACAUUGGGACUGGGAUACGGCCCAGACGCCUACGGGAAGCAGGAGAGGGGAAUAAAGGAAAGUGGGUGCAAGCCUGAUGCAGCGAGGCCGCGUGGGGGAUGAUGGGAUUCGGGUUGUAAACUCCAUUCGCGAGGGACGAAGCAGUUUGUGAAGGUAACUAGAGAAGAAGCACCGGCUAACUACGUG